GUCUUUAUUAAAAUAAUAACAAAAUGGUUUUCACUUGUUUCUGACACACACAGAAACGCGAUUUUUAACGGGGAUUUCGUAAAGUUACACGAAUUGGGUACCAAAAUUCUCAAUUAUUUUACAUGCACACGUGACAUAAUACAUACUUAAUAAUUCUUAGUUAUUGCUUCUAUGACAUUUCAAGUUUGUGAAAUAAAUUUACGUUCUAUAAAGGGGAUCUCGGUAAUUCUUGAAGCUUCCACUCGCUCUUGUCAAUACCGCAUUGCCGCGUUGGAAAUGGUAUAAAUUUAAUUCAUCUAACUUAUCUUUCUGGAUACCAAAUGUCAGAGUUGCAUUAACCCUUUUUACACCGUUUUUGCCAUAUUUCAUUUCCGUUUUUUAAUCCGAACAAAAUAAACGAAACUCGUUUUAAAAAUGAGAUCUGGGCAUUCGAGCUCCUAGUGUGGAUUAAAAGCGUUUAUUGGUGACACCAUAUGACUGCAAAUGUGUAGAUACCGUUAAUAAGAUAAUAUAUCACAUGUCACCUUCAAAUAACAUGUAUGAUGUCAAUUAAGUGCAUUACUAUUAGAGUGAUAAAACACAGCACAAAUUAGGCUUCAUGCUGGGUUUUAUUUCUCUUUAAGUAAUGCAGAUGAACCGCGCUUCUGUAUAUUAAUGACCUAGUAACUGAUAAAACUACUUUUUUUAAAAACGUGAAAUAUGUGAUAAUCAGAUCGAUAACAUAAACUAUUUAAAUCUGCUAGUAUAUCCGAUGUAAUAUAUUAAAAUUGUCUUUGACAGUGUUGACGUUCAGUUGUUCGUGGUGACGACCGCAUGCAUUUAUACAUCUCUUACACUUCUCAAGAUCUCUUUUCGGCUUUGGAAACGAUAUAAAUUAAAUGUCACCAACUAAUCUUUCAGGAUAUCGAUUGUCCGAGUUACAUAGUCCCCAUCGACACCGUUUAACCAUUUCUUAUCGUUUUUUUUUAAAGAGGAAAACAAAAGAAACUCGUUGGAAUAAAAGUGAACCUAAACAUGUAGCUUGUCUAGAAAAUGGCGGACAGGUCGUUGCUAACGAGUGCGCCCGAUUAAUCGAUCGCUGAUUGGUGGAUCAAUUCUAGUGGGCGGAGCGAUCAUAGAUAAGGCGUCAUGUCAAUUUUGACGGAACACAGUGUUUACCUACAUUUUACCCCGUACGGAAAGUGCAAUAAUAACAAAUACGAUUUCGGACGGACUCGUAACUUGAAAAAAGCAUGCGUCCUUUGGAUGCUCAUAUUCUUAAACUUUGCGUCUACGGCAAUUGUUUUGCGUCUAGGACGCAGGACUCAGAGGUAAAAAAUCACUGCGCGCAUUACAAUAAUAUUCAAAAUAUAUGAAUAACCUUUUUUUUUCUAAAUAAAACAACAUUAGAAUGUCUCGCUCCUAGCUUAAGUAUUCGUGGGAGCAAAUAACUAUUUAUCUAACACAUGUGAGCCCCCAUUUGUGACGUCAUGAAGACAGCUGGUCGAACCUAGGAGUGCUUCUCAGUGACGUAUAUCAUGUGGGGGAAUAGAUAGUUUUUAACCGUUUACGACCGUUUUGUUUGUUUAUAUUUCAUUUUUUUUGGCAGAUUUGGAUACAGUUUUUAAUACUCUGUCUAAAUACCAUAGCAAGUUUUAAGUAAUCGUUGUUGAUGUCAAGCAUGCGCAGAGACGAAGUUUAACGUGAUCAAACUUAGGCACACAGAGAAUACAUUAAUAGGUGUAGAAUAGGAUAUCACGUUAUAAGUAUUAAGAAUAGCCAUUAUGUCUUAAUUUUUCUAAAUGUUCCACUAAUUAUUUUCAAAUAAACUUUUUGCUGAAAGUAGAAACCAGAUGAAAACUGUCACACUAUGUUUGUGGUCUAAUGCAGAGUGACCAGGCCUGCCUUGAAGCUGUCCAAGGACCCGGCUAUUCAAUUAAAAUUACAGGAUAUUUUGAUAAAAAUAUGAAAUAUGGUAAAAAUGAAUUAUAAGAAAACAUAAGUUCAAACAAUCAUUAUUUCCCCAACUAGCCGUUCUCUUUUUCGCAUAAAUAGGGCCAUCAUGGUCUAGUCCGUCAAGGUUAUUGACCGUCGUGACCAGAAUAAAUAUCGAUCGCUUUUAAAUAAGUGCUCAUGUUAAAAAUAUUAUAAUAUAUUUGUUCUUUAAUGCAACGACUCGUACUCUGAAAAAAAAACAAGCAACGACAUAUACUGAUUAAAUAUUUAAACAACAUUAGGGUGGUGAAUGCUAUAUAAAACUAACGGCAUAUAUUGAUUUAAUACCAUAGCAUUCACCACCCUAAUGUUGUUCGUUUGAAACACUUUUCUUCUUUGUUUACUUUUCACCGGAAGCAGGAUUUCUAUAGGGUCACUACGGUCACAUUUUAAAACGGUAGAAACACGCAGUCCGGUUGUUAGAUACUUAUUCAAGUUUUCAUGCAAUUAAAUUUAAAAGCAUCAGCUGCUACCAAAUGUCAGUAAAUGUGUAUGUAUGAAUUUGCAUUAAAAAAACUAAGCUUUUUUAAAAAAUGAGCGCAUUUUUUCAAACAUGUAGAUUUCAUAAUAUACCUCUAUAAACUUAACAUUAUGUAAACUAGAACUCGAAUCUUUCUUUGGUGAUUAUUAAGCACACGUCACAAAUUAAUUGUACGAUUGAGUCUGCAAGUUAAGAAUAUUAAAUGUUGAAAUAUAAGGAACACAAAUGACAAAAUAAAUCGUCGUCAUGGUGGCGUAUCGGAGAUGGUGUCCGUCUAACGAACGGGCUGUCACGAAAAGCAGAAGAGGAUAUGAAAUUUGUCAGCGUUACAUAUCUCAACCUUCAAAAGCCGCAGACUUUGACAAAUAUCCUUAACCGUGAUCAAGAGAAGCUCUGCUCAACAAACCAAACGUCCCUCGAGUUUGAGGUGCGUUUUGAUGUACGAAUUGUAUGAAGUUCAUUACUCCUCAUACUUCUAAUGGGACACACGUGUUUAUUUCUCUUUUAAUCUAACAAAGAACGAUAUUGUUCGCUACCACAGAACAGCUGACAAGACUCCAACAGUCCAAGGGCACUUUUAGUGUCGCCCACGAGCCGUUUAUCAACUUCUGUCUGUACACGCCUUAUUGCGACACGUACAUUCAUUUAAGCAGAUUCUCCUACUUUUAGUCAUCUUGUCAUGAAGAAUAAAGACAUAUUGUGUCGUCGUAUUUCGACACAUUUUAGGUCUGUGGCGUAAAUACCCAGUCGUCCUAAGCUAUGUGAUAGACGUUAUGAGUUUUCACUCUUAUCAGUCAUGUUGUAGCGUUAUUGGCCUUAUUCAAUGUAUUAUUGUUUUUUACCUUUUUUAAUCAUAUCUUAUCUUGAGCAGCGUUAUUCAAUGUCUAAUUAUGUAAAAGGUACACGCCAAAUUUUAAUCUUGAAUAUUUCAGCACUAUAGCAGGCGCUUAGAAAGCUUUCUCCGAAGCCCAGAUGAAAGGUUAUGUCUUUCGAUGGAGCCAGACUGCGUUAACGAAAUGGGCAUUACGGCGAUGUACGAGAGACAUGUAUUCUUCAAAGUAUACAGGUACUAGUAUAAACAAUAAUUAUAUACUAAAUACUAUACUAAAAUGUUUAUAUUAAUCCAGGCUAGCUGAACGGGCAACGUUAUUAGAGACAGGUUCCGUCUUUGACUAUGUUCAGUCAACCUGGCUAAAAACACCGUAUGGACGCCGGAAGACUGGUCCAUGUACCGGCAAACAAUUAUAACUUACACAGUUACAGAAGCUCUGAAGGUGGCACUGUUGAACAUGUGGGUUGCCGACAACUGCCCAUUCUGUGUUGGUACUCCGGGUGCAAAUUAAGCUUGUAUGGGAGGGAUCCAGACAGGUCCGACGACAUACGUACGUCUAUUUGAAUCAGCAACUCGGCGGGUUGUGGGACAGACACGACGACGGCGCACCGAGGGAAAGAUCGGGGAGACCUAUAUUUUUGCGUAUUAAACCAGACAUUAAUUGACCCAUUAUAUCCGCAAAUUGUAACUCAAAUGCUUGAUACGUUUAAAUUUAAAAUAGUAACGUAAUCAUGUGUAAACAUAUUAGUUUAUAAUGUAUUAUUGUACAUGCAUUUAUAUAUUUGUGUUAUUUUAUGUUGUUUGUCAGUUCUACCACGAUAAGAUUAUAUAUAUAAGUUAUUUUGUUUUGUUUUAAAUCCCUUAUAUAUGCAAUAAACUUAUUUAAUUGGAGUCUGAAUUAAAUAACCAAUAACCAAUCAAAAACUUACAAUUGCAACCCAACGGUAUUAUUAUAUUUAAUAAAAUGAUUUUAUUGUGUGAUAGCAAAUAUUUGUAUAUGUGGUGAUACUGUUUUGUAUUUUUGAGACAUGCUUAUUCUUAAUAAUGAACUUAAUUGUAUCAAAAUAUAUGCAAACAAAAUAAAUAUAUUUUAUUGAAUU
Dreissena polymorpha is the source of this 4387-nucleotide long non-coding RNA. RefSeq lists it as uncharacterized. Lineage: Eukaryota; Metazoa; Mollusca; Bivalvia; Myida; Dreissenidae. The transcript is spliced from 2 exons. The record is from RefSeq and is a predicted model, not a curated record.